AAAUUGAAGAGUUUGAUCAUGGCUCAGAUUGAACGCUGGCGGCAGGCCUAACACAUGCAAGUCGAACGGUAACAGGAAACAGCUUGCUGUUUCGCUGACGAGUGGCGGACGGGUGAGUAAUGUCUGGGAAACUGCCUGAUGGAGGGGAUAACUACUGGAAACGGUAGCUAAUACCGCAUAACGUCGCAAGACCAAAGAGGGGGACCUUCGGGCCUCUUGCCAUCGGAUGUGCCCAGAUGGGAUUAGCUUGUUGGUGGGGUAACGGCUCACCAAGGCGACGAUCCCUAGCUGGUCUGAGAGGAUGACCAGCCACACUGGAACUGAGACACGGUCCAGACUCCUACGGGAGGCAGCAGUGGGGAAUAUUGCACAAUGGGCGCAAGCCUGAUGCAGCCAUGCCGCGUGUAUGAAGAAGGCCUUCGGGUUGUAAAGUACUUUCAGCGGGGAGGAAGGGAGUAAAGUUAAUACCUUUGCUCAUUGACGUUACCCGCAGAAGAAGCACCGGCUAACUCCGUGCCAGCAGCCGCGGUAAUACGGAGGGUGCAAGCGUUAAUCGGAAUUACUGGGCGUAAAGCGCACGCAGGCGGUUUGUUAAGUCAGAUGUGAAAUCCCCGGGCUCAACCUGGGAACUGCAUCUGAUACUGGCAAGCUUGAGUCUCGUAGAGGGGGUAGAAUUCCAGGUGUAGCGGUGAAAUGCGUAGAGAUCUGGAGGAAUACCGGUGGCGAAGGCGGCCCCCUGGACGAAGACUGACGCUCAGGUGCGAAAGCGUGGGGAGCAAACAGGAUUAGAUACCCUGGUAGUCCACGCCGUAAACGAUGUCGACUUGGAGGUUGUGCCCUUGAGGCGUGGCUUCCGGAGCUAACGCGUUAAGUCGACCGCCUGGGGAGUACGGCCGCAAGGUUAAAACUCAAAUGAAUUGACGGGGGCCCGCACAAGCGGUGGAGCAUGUGGUUUAAUUCGAUGCAACGCGAAGAACCUUACCUGGUCUUGACAUCCACAGAACUUUCCAGAGAUGGAUUGGUGCCUUCGGGAACUGUGAGACAGGUGCUGCAUGGCUGUCGUCAGCUCGUGUUGUGAAAUGUUGGGUUAAGUCCCGCAACGAGCGCAACCCUUAUCCUUUGUUGCCAGCGGUCCGGCCGGGAACUCAAAGGAGACUGCCAGUGAUAAACUGGAGGAAGGUGGGGAUGACGUCAAGUCAUCAUGGCCCUUACGACCAGGGCUACACACGUGCUACAAUGGCGCAUACAAAGAGAAGCGACCUCGCGAGAGCAAGCGGACCUCAUAAAGUGCGUCGUAGUCCGGAUUGGAGUCUGCAACUCGACUCCAUGAAGUCGGAAUCGCUAGUAAUCGUGGAUCAGAAUGCCACGGUGAAUACGUUCCCGGGCCUUGUACACACCGCCCGUCACACCAUGGGAGUGGGUUGCAAAAGAAGUAGGUAGCUUAACCUUCGGGAGGGCGCUUACCACUUUGUGAUUCAUGACUGGGGUGAAGUCGUAACAAGGUAACCGUAGGGGAACCUGCGGUUGGAUCACCUCCUUACCUUAAAGAAGC
Molecule: ribosomal RNA, 1552 nt
Filed under: Escherichia coli O26 str. RM8426
Lineage: Bacteria; Pseudomonadati; Pseudomonadota; Gammaproteobacteria; Enterobacterales; Enterobacteriaceae
Description: bacterial SSU rRNA
Rfam family: Bacterial small subunit ribosomal RNA
Source: RNAcentral